RNAcentral lists this ribosomal RNA (502 nucleotides) under uncultured bacterium. RNAcentral describes it as "partial 16S ribosomal RNA". It matches the Rfam family "Bacterial small subunit ribosomal RNA", at positions 30 to 523 of the family's 1533-position model. The record is from RNAcentral.
AUUGAACGCUGGCGGCAGGCUUAACACAUGCAAGUCGAGCGGGGUGAUGGUGCUUGCACUAUCACUUAGCGGCGGACGGGUGAGUAAUGCUUAGGAAUCUGCCUAUUAGUGGGGGACGACAUCUCGAAAGGGAUGCUAAUACCGCAUACGUCCUACGGGAGAAAGCAGGGGAUCACUUGUGACCUUGCGCUAAUAGAUGAGCCUAAGUCGGAUUAGCUAGUUGGUGGGGAAAGGCCUACCAAGGCGACGAUCUGUAGCGGGUCUGAGAGGAUGAUCCGCCACACUGGGACUGAGACACGGCCCAGACUCCUACGGGAGGCAGCAGUGGGGAAUAUUGGACAAUGGGGGGAACCCUGAUCUAACCAUGCCGCGUGUGUGAAGAAGGCCUUAUGGUUGUAAAGCACUUUAAGCGAGGAGGAGGCUCUUUUGGUUAAUACCCAAGAUGAGUGGACGUUACUCGCAGAAUAAGCACCGGCUAACUCUGUGCCAGCCGCCGCGGUAA